This 400-nucleotide ribosomal RNA is filed under the name uncultured bacterium. RNAcentral's name for it is "bacterial SSU rRNA". It matches the Rfam family "Bacterial small subunit ribosomal RNA", at positions 356 to 773 of the family's 1533-position model. The record is from RNAcentral.
CGGGAAUAUUGGACAAUGGGGGCAACCCUGAUCCAGCAAUACCGCGUGUGUGAAGAAGGCCUGCGGGUUGUAAAGCACUUUUAGUGGGGAAGAUAAUGACGUUACCCACAGAAAAAGCACCGGCUAACUCCGUGCCAGCAGCCGCGGUAAUACGGAGGGUGCAAGCGUAAAUCGGAAUUACUGGGCGUAAAGCGUGCGUAGGCGGCUCUUUAAGUCGGAUGUGAAAUCCCCGGGCUCAACCUGGGAACCGCAUCCGAUACUGGGGAGCUAGAAUGUGGGAGAGGGAAGUGGAAUUUCCGGUGUAGCGGUGAAAUGCAUAGAGAUCGGAAGGAACAUCAGUGGCGAAGGCGACUUCCUGGACCAACAUUGACGCUGAGGCACGAAAGCGUGGGUAGCAAAC